RNAcentral lists this long non-coding RNA (1437 nucleotides) under Canis lupus familiaris (dog). Its description in RNAcentral is "lncRNA (ENSCAFG00000052919.1, ENSCAFG00805027469.1, ENSCAFG00845009914.1)". The record is from RNAcentral. Lineage: Eukaryota; Metazoa; Chordata; Mammalia; Carnivora; Canidae.
UUUCAUUUGCCCUUGUUCAAACCCAGGUGGAAACACUGCCCUACUGUGAAGACCCAGAAAAUUCUCCUAAGAAUUUUCUCUGGGCUCAGGAAGACAAUUUAAAUAUUUCUUGCUCUAGGGGACUUAAGCAUUUUUUCUAAGCCAUAGCUUUAAAUUGCUUCAGGGGAAAGACGUUCAAAACUUUUGAAAACUCCAAGAAUAAUCCCCUAAAGACUUAAUUAUGUUAGAUCCAUACUGUAUUUCAAAUAACCAAUCAGGAGUCUUGAGGAUGUGUCUUAACCCAUUCUUUAUUAUCAUUUACUGCUGAAAUCCUUAAUCCAAAUAUAUUCCAGUGGCUUUGUCCAUACCUUUGUUCAUCCUAUCAUGUCUUAUUGAUGAGAUAAUAGAAACAUCUCAUUUAGUUAAUUAGCUCUUGGUUAUUAAUAUAAGAGUAAACAUUUAUAAAUUUCUAGGCAUUAAGAAUUAUAUAUAUAUAGAAUUACAUAUGAAUUCUGUAAGAAUUCUAUAAGAAUUCAUAUUACAUAAGAAUUACAUAUAUAGAAUUACAUAUAUUAUAUAUAUAAGAAUUAUAUAUAUAUAGAAUAUACAUAUAUUCUAUAUAUAAAAUUUAAUUCCUAUUUGUUUAAUUAGUGAGUGAAGAGAAAAAGUAUUUUAUUGUACAAAAUAAUCUAAAAAUUACUGAAGUUGAAAAAUCAGAAUCUACUUAUGUGAAUAUGAGUGGCAUUUUGAAACUCACAACAAAUUCAGAAAUUUUGCAACCAUUCAAUGAAAACCUAGAGGCCAUCAAGCUAUUCAGUUUUUUUUGUUGUUGUUGUUUGCUAUUCAGUUUUCUCAUUGCAAUUCUACAACCUAAUUUGUAACUCAAUCCUACUCCAUACUGUAAACAUCUCCAAAGAAUUCACCUAAAGAGGAGCACCUGGGUGCUCAGUCAGUUGAGCCACUGACUCUUAGUUUCAGCUCAGGUCAUGGGAACAAGCCUCACCCCACUUGUGAGCAAAAGUGCAUGUGCCCUCUCUCUCUCAAAUAAGUAAAUAUUAAAAAAAAAAAAGAAUUCACUUAAACAGAUAUAUCUAUCACCCACAUUAAUUGGCAUAAAAUUACUAUUUAUCUAAUAUAAACAAUUAGGAGGUAAAGGUGAACAUAUGUAUAAAAUCCCAAGUACACUCAGUCAACUCUUUCUGAAGGGACUUCUCUCCUUUCCUUGAACUGCUUCACCAAACAAUGAAUAUAAUUUGUUUACCACAAAACCACUAUCCAGGUAAAAUAAACUUUCACUACAAGUCUAAAGACAGUAGGAAAAAAUUACAGCACUGAACAAAAACAAGUGAAAACUGGGUUUCCAACAUCAUUGUUUCUGAAGUUUACUGACCUGACCACAAGAACUUGCUUCCUGGACAUUUAUUUUUUUAGAUCCUGAUCUGUUACCACAUAACUAAG